CAGCCGCCGCGGGAAUACGAGGGGAGCUAGCGUUGUUCGGAAUUACUGGGCGUAAAGCGCGCGUAGGCGGCUUUUUAAGUCAGAGGUGAAAGCCCGGGGCUCAACCCCGGAAUUGCCUUUGAAACUGGAAAGCUAGAAUCUUGGAGAGGUCAGUGGAAUUCCGAGUGUAGAGGUGAAAUUCGUAGAUAUUCGGAAGAACACCAGUGGCGAAGGCGACUGACUGGACAAGUAUUGACGCUGAGGUGCGAAAGCGUGGGGAGCAAACAGGAUUAGAUACCCGCGUAGUCCCUGUCUCUUAUAC
RNAcentral lists this ribosomal RNA (301 nucleotides) under uncultured bacterium. Its description in RNAcentral is "partial 16S ribosomal RNA". It matches the Rfam family "Bacterial small subunit ribosomal RNA", at positions 509 to 807 of the family's 1533-position model. The record is from RNAcentral.